GUCUACAGCCAUACCACCCUGAACGUGCCUGAUCUUGUCUGAUCUCCUAAAGCUAAGCAGGGUUGGGCCUGGUUAGUACUUGGUUGGGAGACUGCAUGGGAAUACCGGGUGCUGUAGGCU
Ribosomal RNA from Macaca mulatta (Rhesus monkey), 120 nucleotides. NCBI's taxonomy places the organism in Eukaryota, Metazoa, Chordata, Mammalia, Primates, Cercopithecidae. The record is from Ensembl.